GGAGGGGUGGCAGAGUGGUCGAAUGCACCGGUCUUGAAAACCGGCAUACCGCAAGGUAUCGUGGGUUCGAAUCCCACCCCCUCUGCCA
Molecule: transfer RNA, 88 nt
Filed under: Verrucomicrobiaceae bacterium
Lineage: Bacteria; Pseudomonadati; Verrucomicrobiota; Verrucomicrobiia; Verrucomicrobiales; Verrucomicrobiaceae
Also listed under: 3 other names
Description: tRNA-Ser
Rfam family: tRNA
About the family: Transfer RNA (tRNA) molecules are approximately 80 nucleotides in length. Their secondary structure includes four short double-helical elements and three loops (D, anti-codon, and T loops).
Source: RNAcentral